RNAcentral lists this ribosomal RNA (253 nucleotides) under uncultured bacterium. RNAcentral's name for it is "partial 16S ribosomal RNA". It matches the Rfam family "Bacterial small subunit ribosomal RNA", at positions 57 to 305 of the family's 1533-position model. The record is from RNAcentral.
GCAAGUCGAGGGGUAACAGUUCCAAGCAAUUGGAAGCUGACGACCGGCGCACGGGUGCGUAACGCGUAUGCAACCUACCUUUAACUGGGAGAUAGCCCGGAGAAAUCCGGAUUAAUAUCCCAUAAUAUUUAAGAAUGGCAUCAUUUUUAAAUUAAAGCUUCGGCGGUUUUAGAUGGGCAUGCGUGACAUUAGUUAGUUGGUGAGGUAACGGCUCACCAAGACGGCGAUGUCUAGGGGUUCUGAGAGGAUUAUC